GCGAGAUCAUGACCUGAGCUGAAGUCGGAUGCUUAACCGAGCCACCCAGUUAUCUCAUCAAGAGAGGCCUCACAAAGGACGACAGAGAAUGGUCUGUAUUCGUGUUUUGAUUCAAUAACUCAUAAUACUGAAAGUACGUCCACAGACUGAAAACCGGAAUGUCAUCUUUUACGGACAAAACUGCAGUGACUCACCUUGGACAGACCUUUCCUGACAUGAAAGUUAAAGUCCUAGAAGAGGAAUUGUUAGAUCCUUUGUGCAUUUGUAAUUUUGAUACAUAUUGCCAAACUACCCUCUAUAGAGUUCAUAUUAACUUACAGAUUGACAGGAACAAGGAUGCAUUUUCCCACACCCUUACCAAUGCAGUGUGUUGGCAAGUAUUUUGAUAUUUGCCAAUUUUGGGAGAAAUGAGCAUCUCCUUAUAGUUUUAAUGUGGACGUCUUUUGUAAGAAAUUACGUUUCGGAGCUGUUUCCUUUUCUGUGAGUCAAUUGCUUUUAAAAAUCUUUUCAACUGAGAACAAA
Long non-coding RNA from Leopardus geoffroyi (Geoffroy's cat), 522 nucleotides. RefSeq lists it as uncharacterized. The transcript is spliced from 3 exons. NCBI's taxonomy places the organism in Eukaryota, Metazoa, Chordata, Mammalia, Carnivora, Felidae. The record is from RefSeq and is a predicted model, not a curated record.